UACGGGGGGUGCAAGCGUUGUUCGGAUUUACUGGGCGUAAAGGGCGCGUAGGCGGCCAGCACAAGUCAGUUGUGAAAUCUCCGAGCUUAACUCGGAAAGGUCAACUGAUACUGUGCGGCUAGAGUGCAGAAGGGGCAACUGGAAUUCUUGGUGUAGCGGUGAAAUGCGUAGAUAUCAAGAGGAACACCUGCGGCGAAGGCGGGUUGCUGGGCUGACACUGACGCUGAGGCGCGAAAGCUAGGGGAGCGAACGGG
RNAcentral lists this ribosomal RNA (254 nucleotides) under uncultured bacterium. RNAcentral's name for it is "partial 16S ribosomal RNA". It matches the Rfam family "Bacterial small subunit ribosomal RNA", at positions 524 to 776 of the family's 1533-position model. The record is from RNAcentral.